Molecule: RNA transcript, 14187 nt
Organism: Cuculus canorus (common cuckoo)
Lineage: Eukaryota; Metazoa; Chordata; Aves; Cuculiformes; Cuculidae
Exons: 11
Source: RefSeq, a predicted model, not a curated record
GUGGCUGGCUUGAAAGGAAGAGGUUGCAUCACACACAGCAUGCUGAGCACUGCGAGCUGCUGCCAACAGGUCUGAGCUCACCAUCACAGCUGCCUGAUGAACGUGACUCCCAGGGUACAAGAGCAGGACGUGAACCUGGAGCUAUGGACAGGAGAAGAGCCCAGCACCCACCUCACCACAACCUCCUUUCCGGGAGCUGCAGAAUGAAGUCUCCUCUCAGCCUCCUCUUCUCCAGGCUAAAUAGACCCAGGUCCCUCAGAUAACUUGAUUGAUGAAACCAAGAUGGAGACAACUGAAACCGGAGUGUUGGAACUGGAGAAGACUCGUUUGGGCCAAUGUGUCUGGGUAACCGAUACGUAACAGGGAUCGAACUAAAGCCUGUUCUGCCUGGUGCUGGACUGCCAAGUGCUGCCGCUCACUCCUGCCUGAUUGAUUCCAGCAGACACGUUGUGCUUGAUCUUCCUGAUAAGGAAGAGUGCAUGUUUACAUCUCCAUUUAAACAAACCCACAGGUUGUAGCUGUUGCAGUGAGGGGAAACAAGGUUUGAGCUGUGAGCGUGGGGCUCUGUUCCCUCUUGAACCUGGAAGCAGAGUCCCCUGUGGUUUCUGUCUGGUAGGAAAUGAUUGAACCUGGGAUAGGGUGGAGUUGAAAAAUGGAAUCCCCAUCACUGCAGCACAAGCUGCUGCCUCCAGACUGUGCCCAAUGGACAGGGAACCCUUUCCAGCAGGUAAGGUGUCGGGGCCUGUGUUUCACAGUGGAUGUGUGCACUUGGGAAGCUUGAAGGCAUCACUGCCAAGUUGGAGAUGAACCAUUAGGAGGUUUUCAGCCCUUGGAUUAGGCAGAGGCAGGAACCUUCAUUCCUGGUUCUGUGACUGAGGGAUGGGUGGUCGAGGUUUGGAAAGGUUUUUAGGACAAACAAGGAAGCUCCUCCAUCCCUAUAUAGACAAACUCCUUACAUGUCCCUGCUCAGACCAUAUGUUUGUUGCCUCUGCAGCAGGACUUGGAAUUGACUGUGUGGAAGAGCUGCACAUAGAAAUGAAGAAGAUGGAAAUGGACUUUGAGGAGAAACUACUAGAUGCGUGUGGUGAGGAGGAGAUGCUGGAGGUGAAGAGGUAAACGACUGCAGAGAAGCAGGAGCUGGCAAGCAAAGUCUCCCAUCUGAGUGAGGAGAUGGAGAGUCUGAAAGAAGAGCUUGAAGGCAGCGAGAAAGUAAUGGCUUCAGGGUCCUCCUCCCUGCCUGCAGCUUCACUUCCAGACAUUGCAGAGAACAUCCAGCCAUCACCACACAUCCACUACCAAAGACUGCUUCUGGAUAUGUCCCACCAGCUCCUCUGCUCCCAGGUCGUUCUGGCAUCCUACCACUUCCACCAGAAAUGGGUAUUCCCUGUUCUACCCUUGGCUUCGGAUUCAGGGGAGCCUGUGCACCUUGGCUUCUUCCAUGGGAUUCAUCUCCAAAGGUUCUCAGCCAGCUGCACAACUGCAAAGACUGUGCUGGACCAAGAGUGGGUCUGAGCUUGAUGCAGCGAGUGGGCUUGAUGCAGGACCUGACAUAUGGGCUCAGUGCAGGACCUGACGUGUGGGUCUGCGAGGGGUUAUUCCUCUGGGAUAGCUUGCGGACUCCAAGAAACCGCCUCUCAGCAAGUCCUGUUUUCCUGACCAUGCCCAGCUCCAAGACACAAAGUCCUGGGAUCAGAAGUGAUCCCAAUGAAGCUGACACAGAGAAGAGUGGCAAAUUUGUGGAAAAAAUGACAGUAUCCUUUUGUUUUCAGAAAGAAUCAUCACGGAAUGGUUUGGAUUGGAAGGGACCUCAAAGCACAUCCAGUUCCACCCCCCUUGGAGUGGCAUGGAGUGAUAGAACAAGGCAAAAUGACUUUAAAUUGGGAGGGGGAAGAUUUAGAUUAGACAUUAGGAAGAAAUACUUCAUGAUUAAGGUGGUGAGACCUUGGCCCAGGUUGCCCAGAGCAGUGAUGUCUGCCCUAUCCCUGGAGGUGUUCAAGACCAGGUUAGAUGGGGCUUGGAGCCCCUGAUCCAGUUGGGAGGUGUUCCUGCCCAUGGCAGGGGGUGGGACAGGAUGGGCUUUGAGGUCCCUUCCAACCCAAACCAUUCUCUGAUUCUAUGAUGUGCAAAACCUGCCAGGGCACAGAGAACCUUCCCAAACCUGAGGGCUUUCCUGAGAGGUGUUUUGCAGGAGUUCCCACAACAAAAGCCACUCAGUGCUGUAGUCUUGCACUCCAUCUCCUCCCUUGUUUCCCUUGGAGGCCUGGGGGGGUAUUGGUGUCAGAGCUUUUCUCCUCGCUUCCCGAAUCGUGAUGCUGUCUCUGUUAGUGCAGGAACCUCGCAUUGGGCUCCUCUGUUCCACAUACGUUUCACGUUUCUUUGCACACAUGUUUCAAUAGGGGGGAAAGGGCAAAGGCCAUAAACAGAUUUAUGGGCUUUCCCAGCUCUGUAGCCUGAAGCCAGGAGCACCGAAACCAGCAGGAUAGCCUCUGUGGGACGUCCUCACAAUGACUGUGCACACUCGGAUUUGUCAUUCAUCACCCUUUCUGUUCCCUUACCUCUGGGUGAGUGAAUCCUACUACACCCAAUACACCUGCACCAAAGCUGCUCUGCUUUCUGGGAGCGGUGUGAACAUGAGCUCCCACCAGCACUGCCUUAUGAAUGGCAAAACCAUGUUCUGAAUCUGCGGUUGUCUGCUUUCUUUAAUGAAUUUAAGGUUGCAAGCCUGCUGACCUGCAGCUACUACAAGUGCAGACCUGAAAGCCCACACAAGUGACCCCUCUCAGCAGUUGUGUUUUGUCUGAAUUGAGCCUUCAGCUCCAUCCAGGAGGUUAACGUGACUCUGUGAGUGCCCUGUGCUGUCCCCACAGCAUGGCCCUUCUCCCUCAGCUUGCUCCCUGCUACCAGAUGCAUUCCUCACUUCCAACAUAUGGACUCAAUUACUGUCCCUCUCCCUCGAUUUCCUGCCUCUUUGAGUUUCCUGAAACGCAUCCCCUCCUCCUGGCAGCUUGAACUCCCGCAGUGAGAUGCUUUGCAAGCUCUCACAUUCCUCCCUUCCUCCAUCCCGCUGCUUCGCUGCCUCUAACGAGGUGGUCCCAAUCCAGAGCACGAACCGAUAAGGCUGCAGACCAGGGACCCUGAGGGCUCAGGUUGCUACAGCCAAACUAGCCAGCCCACUAAAUUCAUGCUCUGUGUCGAGCAGGGCUGUGUCCCAGCUCCCCAUCGUUCCUAGAUCACCCUGUAGUUUUCAGCCAACUGCUUUAUUUGCAAGACUCGGGCUUUUUUCCCCCCAUUCCCUUCUGAGGCUGUGGGCUUUAAGAGCCUCUGCGCUUUGGAAGGACCAUCAAACUGCUCCAGGUUCCUCCUGCAUGCUCUUUGGCUUCUUUCCUGCACAUCGACUCCUGACGAAAAGCCAUGUGCCCAUGGAUUCUGCUUUUAAAAUCCUUUGAGGAGGAGGAGAGAGGGAGCUCUUUCUUCUCUGUUAGUGGUUCCCCCCUGCUGCUUGCGGGGAGCCCCAGGCGCUGCAGUAUUGAGGUGCUGGAAAUCUUCAGAAAUCCGAGCUUAUUCAAGGGGCAGAGAGAGAUGGAAAUGGUUAAAUCAUGCAAAUGAGCAAGUUAAUGAUUUCCAUCCCCUUGCUGGUGUGUUUCAGUUUUAGGAAGGGGGGCUGGCCAGCAGCUGUGCCAGCAAUUGUAGCUCAAAAAGACUAUUUUCUUUCUGUGUCAGCUUUCAUCCAUGGCCCCUUUGGAUUCCCCUGACUCCACACAUGCCAGAGUUUCCAGAGCUUCUGCUGUCCCUGUGAAUGUUAUUCCUCCCAUACCCAGCGAUGGAGUUUAAUGCUGGGGGAGUGAUGGUGAUGAAGGCAGUGCUGUUUGCUCCUUGUGUGCUUCCUUCUCCAAGCAGUGGAGAGGCUUUUUCCCAGGGCAGAAGCCACUCAGGAGCACUUGCAAAUAGAGGGAAAAGCUGCAGCAUCUGCACCUCUGAGCCCAGGAGCUCAGGGGAACAACUUAGGGUACAGCUCUGGGGAAGAGCCAACAAAUAUCUGUGGAUGCGCAGCCCUACAGUCACCUCCAGAUGCUGGAGCCUUAUUGUGUGACAGUUGUUAUGUAUAUCUGGCUUAUAGAUUAUUAAAUAUCGUAUAAUAAGCUGUAUUAUAGUAAGCCUGGACACUGUGUCCAGGUUCUGGCAUCCCUUGGGUCCGGAGGAGGCCACGAAGGUGAUCCAAGGGCUCGAGCGCCUCCUGUAUGAGGACAGGCUGAGAGAGUUGGUGUUGUUCAGCCUGGAGAAGAGAAGGCUCUGGAGAAACCUUAGAGCAGCUUCCAGUACAGAAAGGGGCUCCAGAAAAGCUGAGGAGAGGCUUUUUACAGGGGUUUGGGGUGACAGGAUGAGGGAGAAUGUCUUGAAUUUGGAAUAGGGAAGAUGUCAACCCUUCACGUUGAGGGUGGGGAGGCCCUGGCCCAGGUUGCCCAGAGCAGUGGUGGCUGCCCCAUCCCUGGAGGUGUUCAAAGCCAGGUUGGACUGGGUUUGGAGCAACCUCAUCCAGUGGGAGGUGUCCCUGCCCAUGGCAGGGGGAUUGGAAAUGAAUUAGUUUGAGGUCCCUUCCAACUGAAACCAUUCUACGAACGAUGGGGUGGCUGGGAGCAGGAUGGGGACUGGAGACAGCUGUACUGAGACAUGUCCCCCUUUCAGGGGACAUGAAUGUGGGUGGCACAGCACUGGGAAAUCCCAUCAACCAAGGUUUGGAACCCACUAAACAGUUUUGUGUUGGGUAGAAAAGAUGCACUCCUGUGCUGUCCCCACCUCUCCCACAGGGCUCUAUCUAUUAUUCCCUGCCCCAGGCUUGCUGCUGUGGUCCCUGCUCUCCCAGACGUAGUUCUGGGGUGCUGGGUGGCAUGGGCUUGUCCCUGCUCCACCCAGCCAUGGUUCUGGGGUACUGGGUGCUGUAGGGCAGUCCUUGCUCCCCACAGCCAUGGUUCUGGGAUACUGGGUGCUAUGGGGCAUUCCCUGCUCCCCCGAGCCGUGGUUCUGGAGUACUGGGUGCUAUAGGGUGGUCCUUCCUCCCCCUAGUUGUGGUUGGGGGGUGCUAGGUGCUCUGGGGCAUUUCCUGCUCUUCCUAGCCAUGGUUCUAGGCUGCUGGGUGCUGUGGGGUGCUGGGUGCUGUGGGGUGGUCCCUGCUCAUGCCAGCUAUGGUUCUAGGAUGCUGGGGGUGCCGUGGAGUACUCCCUGCUCCCCCCAGCUGUGGUUCUAGGGUGCUGGGUGCCAUGGGGUGCUCCCCACUCCCUCCAGUCAUGGUCCUGGGGUGCUGUGGCUGCUCUCUGCUCCCCCCAGCUGUGGUUCUGAGGUGCUGGGUGCCGUGGGGUGCUGGGUGCUGUGGGGCAAUCCUUGGUCCCCCAGCCGUCGUGCUGAGUGCUGUGGAAUGCUGGGUGCCAUAGGGUGCUCCCUGCUCCACCCAGCUCUGGUUCUGGGGUGCUGAGUGCUGUGGGAUAAUCCUUGCUCCCCCCAGCCGUGGUUCUGGGGUGCUGUGGUGGGGUCCCUGCUCCCUCAGCCAUGGUACCGGGGUGUUGGGUGCCAUGUGGUUUUCCCCACUCCCCCCAGCUGUGAUUCUGGGGUUCUGGGUGCCAUGGGGCAUUCACUGCUCCACCAGCCGUGUUUCUAGGGUCCUGGGUGCUGUGGGGCAGUCCUUGGUCCCCCAGCCAUGGUGCUGGGUGUUGUGAGAUGCUGGGUGCCAUGGGGUGGUCCCAGCUCCCCCCAGCUGUGGUUCUGGGAGUCUGGGUGCUAUGGGGCAUUCCCUGCUCCCCUCAGCCAUGGUUCUGGGGUGCUGGGUGCGGUGGUGUGGUCCCUGUUCCCCCAGCCGUGUUUCUGGGGUGCUGGGUGUAGUGGGGCAGUCCUUGGUCCCCCAGCCGUGAUGCUGAGUGUUAUGGGAUGCUGGGUGCCAUGGGGUUCUCCCUGCUUCCCCCAGCCCUGGUUCUGGGGUGCUGGUGCCAUGGAUCAUUCCCUGCUCCUCCCAGCUGUGGCUCUGGGAUCCUGAGUGCUGCGGGGUGAUCCUUGCUCCCCCCAACCGUGGUACUGGGGUGCUAUUGUGGGGUCCCUGCUCCCCUAGCCAUGGUUCUGGGGUGCUGGGUGCCAUGGGGUGGUCCCCGCUCCCCCAUCCCUGGUUCUGGGGUGCUGGGUGCCAUGGAGUGGUCCCCGCUCCCCCCAUCCCUGGUUGUGGGGUGCUGGGUGCCAUGGGGUGGUCCCUGCUCCCCCAUCCCUGGUUCUGGGGUGCUGGGUGCCAUGGGGUGGUCCCCGCUCCCCCCAUCCCUGGUUCUGGGGUGCUGGGUGCCAUGGGGUGGUCCCUGCUCCCCCAUCCCUGGUUGUGGGGUGCUGGGUGCCAUGGGGCGCCCCCCGCUCCCCCCAGCCCUGGUUCUGGGGUGCUGGUGCCAUGGGGUGGUCCCCGCUCCCCCCAGCCCUGGUUCUGGGGUGCUGGGUGCCAUGGGGCGCCCCCCGCUCCCCCCAGCCUGGUUGUGGGGUGCUGUGGGGUGGGCGAUGUGGGGCUGCCGGCAGGUGGCGGGCUCUGCAGGCUGCGGAUCCAGGAGCUUCUCAGAUGUUUAAUGGGAUUUUAUAGCUCCGGGUUUCCUCGGGAGCUGUUGUCCGGGUAACAGAGCUCUGCGAGAGCCCCGUGCACGCCGCGUUAACCCCUUCAGUGCCGCUGCCGAGGGAGGAUGCGCAGGGAAGCCAGCAGCCCCCGGGAGGCUCCUCUUAAAGGCGUGCGGAGGUGCUCCAGCCUUUGGAUCAUCUCUGUGGUCUCCUCUGGACUCACUCCAACAGCUCCAUGUCCUUCCUGUGCUGAGGACUCCAGAACUGAACGCAGCACUCCAGGAGGGGGAGGGUCAGGAGGAGCACGGAGAGAAAUGUCCAACUCGGCUUCAGUGUCCUGCAGUAGCUGUGGGAUAUUUGCUCAACUUCUACAGCAGAAAAGGGCAGGGAUUUCAUGUAAGGAGCUCCUCUGCCUUUUAGCCUUAGUGGAGUCUGAGGCUAACACAUGUCUAGCGUAGCCUUGCUGCCCCAUCAGACCCUGAUCAGCUUGGUGUCUGCGUGAUGGGCGUGUCCUGGUGCUGCUGAGUGUGCAGGGCAUCCAUGGUCCUCCAGCAGUGAAAGGACCGUGGCUGUAAGCCUCAGCAGUCCGGAACCUGUAGGUACGUAUGACCACAGCACCAUAAGUACCAUAUGCCCUGUGUCCAACAGCCUCUCCCUGACGCGGUUUCACUCCUCCGACCCUUCCCCAGAGGAGCACUGUGUGUCCAGGUUGCAGGAAGCUCCUCUCCUGCUGUAUCCAGAACUCUGAGGGACAAUCGCCACCUUCACAGCUGUUUCAGACCCAGCUUCCCUUUGGAAGGGGAGGAUUUCCCUUCCCACACCUGCAAAAACAAGGGGUCCUGACUCACUGCCUGCAGGGAGCGAGGGCCAAGAGGGCUGCGGGGUAGGAGGGUGGGGAUACCAGGCACAUGAGCCUGUCACCGUGGGAUUUCCUUCCUCUGCCUUCUGGGUUUUCCCUUUUUUUGCUCUUUUCAGAAGGCGAUUGUAGUUCAGUGCAGUUUCCGUGUGGCCCUGUUGUGGUGUAACCCCCAGUGGGCAGCUAAACCCCACCAGACAGUGAGUGGCCAAACACCUACCUGCCAACGGAAUCAUAGAAUGGUUUGGGUUGGAGGGGACCUUAAAGAUCCUCCUGUUCCACCCCACCCUGCAUCAGGCAGGGACAUGAAGUGGUGAAUGAAUUCCUUAUUCUGCUUUGCUUGCAUGCUCAGUUGCUUUACCUGUUAAACCCUCACCUUUCCAGGUCUGCCUCCCACCCUGCUGUGGAGGAGGGAGCGAGGAAGGGGCUGCGUGGGGCUGAGCUGCCCACUGGAGUUAACCCACACAAGCUCCUACGCCUGUGCUUGUUUUGACAUCGCCACAUAGUGCUCUGAGGGUGUGUGUUUGUGGAGGAUCCCACUGGAGCCAGUGCUUCUCUGAAUCCUCCUUCCCAUGAACCUCCUGUCUGAUGCUUUGCAAUCCCCAGGAGUUCUCCCAGUGAGCCAUAUUGUGUUUUUCCGUCCUCAGUUGUCAGGAUAUUUCUCCAUCCCCCAUCACCGCUGCCAAGGAAGAUGGGAGCUCAGCAUGUGAGCCUUGUCAGCUCUGAUCUCCGACUCCCAUCCUGCCCAGGCAGCUGGGUCUAUUCAUCUACGAGCAGCUCCAUCCCUAGACCAUAGAGGACUGAGGAAAGCCUCCGGGCUUCUUUUUAAUAGCUUAAAGGACCCGUUGUGGGGUAGCAAGGUCAGUGAAAGGGGCGUGCUGCAGUCGGCUCAUUGAGACAGCCGUGUGGACCAUGGCAAGGCACGCACACAAUAGCUCUGUGUCCUCCUCCGGUCUGGCCUGGCGCUUGUCCUGCCCUCAGAGCUUCAGGCAGAUGAUUCAGAAUCAGUUUGUGGUUGAAGUGACUCAACCAGUGUCCUUUCCUGUCCUCGCGACGUCAUGCGUGUGCCAUCUGCUCCCCACCACACAGCAAAGCGAAGGCAGAAAAUCGAUGAUGAAUCCAUCCCUCCUGCCCAAAGCUCAUUGCUGGCCUGGGUAUCAAAAGAGAGCGAGGGUUGAGCCAGGCUGGAUGCAAGGGGACUCUUUUUCCUCAAAGGAGAUGAAGCAAUCGCAUACAGAGCAGACUCUUUACCCCUCACCCUGUUGCUUGGACCAUUGCCUGGUUUGUGGGAGGGAGGAAGAUGCUCUGCUUCAAGCCAGGUGAUGCUGACCACAAACCAAGCUGGGGAGCGGGGCAGGUUGCCAUUGGGGCACCCAUGCCACAGCAAAAAUCCAUGUCUGCGGUGGGAGGAGGAAGCAAUUUCCAAGCCUUUCUGAGAUGUUUUGCCAGUCCUUUGCAGAGCCACAGCAAUCUCAAACCAGAUCUGCUGGGGAUGACCAAGAAUAGGAGCUUUGGGCAUGGGUUUCCAGCCUGGAGAUCCCUUCAUGAAGACAUAAGCACACAUUGCCCAAAAUGCUGUUGAUAUUCAGUAACUCCGGUAUUUUCCAGUUUUCCUGCUGCCCAUGACAAUGGAAUGAGGAGUCAGAACCCAACCCUUUGGAUGUCCAAAGGGAUCUCUUGUGGUUUGCUAAAGAAGUGAAGCUCCCACAGAACGAGAGGGUAGGUUCCUACAUGACUGCUAGCCCAUUGUUUAAUAGAUUAAAUGGUAGGAAACAAAAUACAUCAGGAAGACUGUGAAUAGUAGGAAUGUUUCUGACAAUAUUCCAGUAGGACAAACCAAAAGGCAGACUGUGAAGGGCUACAGAAGUACCUUACCUGGAUGCUUGGUGGCUUAUAACAUCUCUAAGGGGUUGUCCUGCCUUGUGCCUUUUUAACUCUCUGAGUGGAGGGAUGUUCCAAGCUGACCGUUGCCACUUGGAGCUUACAGGGUGUCAGCAGCAGUGUCAGCUCAGUGCUCUGCAGUAGUUAAACCCCCAAAUCCCCAUGCAAGAUCCAGGAAUAUCUGGGAAAGGAAGGAGAAGAAGGAAACUCUUCUUCUUAGGAAACUAUAUCUCCCAAGUGAUAGGAUGAGAAGAAAUGGCCUCAAGUUGUGCCAGAGGAGGUUUAGGUUGGGUAUUAGGAAACAUUUCUUUACUGAAAGAGUGGUGAAGCACUGGCAGAGGCUGCCCAGCGCGGUGGCGGCAUCUCCAUCCUUGGAGGGGUUAAAAAAACAUGUAUACGUGGCACUUUAGGACACAGUUUAGUGGGCACAGUGGAGUUGGGCUGACAGUUGGACUGGAUGAGCUUAGAGAUCUUUGCCAACACUAAUAAUUCUAUGAAAAGCAACCACAGCAGUUGGGGUGGUUUUUUUUCUUGUUUUAAUGGCAUUGCACUGCCUGCAGCUCUGGUUCGCCUGUCUGCAGAGGGACAUCAUAUGCUAGAUAAGGUGCAGAGGGAGGCAGCAAUGACCAGUGGGUAGCCCUGGGGCUGCUGAAUCCAGAAAAGGGCCAUGAAGGAGGUACCUGAAAUUAUAAGCUGGAGGUAUUUUUGUCUCCUUUGCAAAAGCUUGAAUGAGGCUGGGAGAGGCAGGCUUAAAUGCCGAGCUGUAGUUUCACAGCCCUCCUCCUUACAGGAUGUUGCAGAUGCUUAUGGCUUACACAGGUUAAAAAAAGCAACCGUAUUCAUUUAUAGAAGGAAAAGGUGGGAGAAUGUGGGAAAAUGCACUGGCUGAGAAAGACGGGAGAGUGUCAAUGGGGGCGUGAGGGGAGAGUUGGAAGCUGCAAGGAGCGGGGGUGGAGGGAGAGAGCAGCCUGCUGCGCUCCUGCUGGGUGUUGGGAAGGGAUUUGGCUGUGCCCAGAGGAGCGAGAACCUUAUGGGGCUUGAGGAGGCAGAAGAGCCUGAGGGGAGAAAGGUCUGCUGGAUCAGAGUGAGAUAAGAAGCUUUGCUGAGGGGUGAAGAACACAAGCAGUGCAUUGAGUACAGGCUCCUGCUUUCUUUCAGCUCUCUCUGGCUACGCUAUGGUCCAGCUAGCAGCUGAGGGGGGGGACAUCUGUCACCCCCCUUCUUCUUUCUGCAGUAGCCCUGUGGGGACCAGUGCACAAAGCCUGGCAGCUCUGAAUGCUCCCUGUGUUGUCUGCGCAAACCAAAUGCUUUAUCCAACGGGGAUGGGAGAGCAGCCCUCAGGCAACCCCAGCAGCAGGAACCUGAGCCCCUUUGCAGCCCCACCAGCAGCACCAAAAAAUGCCCACCCCACACGGGUUAUUUUGCCAGCAGAUGUGGAAGGGGAAGGGAGAUGGCUGAUGUCUCAGUUUAGAGGUUGUUGGACCCUUACUAGUCAGGCUCUGGUAUGCUCUGCUGGCAUCAGACCUGUUGUGCACAAGGCAGAAAUGCUGUCCUGACCAUCUCUGCAGCACAGCCCAUGUUUCUCAUGCUUUUCUCAUUUUGGGGGUGAAGAACAGACCCAUAAGUGGUCUCCUGCCCACUGCACCAGUGGUGAAAGGGAUGCUAUGUGGAGAGUAGGGCAGGGAGAGGCAGAUGUAGCAAAGAGGGGUGAGGGGUAGUUUCAGAGCUGCUUCAGGGCACAGAGGGGGUUAAGAGAGGGGUGCUGGGUUUGCAGAGUCUCUGAAAGGCUUUCAAAUCUUGCUCAGGAGUCCCCAGCCUGUGUCCUCUGCGUGAUCUCAUGUGCCUGCCCUUGGUGUUUCAAAAGCUAGGGUGACAGCGUGUAAGAUUUUCAGUCUUUAAAGUGUUAAUUUCUCAUGCCUGCAGCAUCUGGGCAGUAAUUCAGCUGCUGCUUUAUAUUCCAGAGCAGGUCCCCUCCCUUCUGCCUUCCUCUCCCAAUCAGAUAAAUACAUCUUUCGGGGCAAUCCAUGAUUUCAAUACCGGAUGGGAGAUGGCAUGACUGAGAACUGCCUUGAGGAGAAGGACGUGGGGUGCUGGGGAUGAGAAGCUCGACAUGAGCUGGCAGUGUGCACUCGCAGCCCAGAAACCAACCAUGUCCUGGGCUGCAACAAAAGCAGUGGGACCACCAGGACAAGGGAGGGGAUUCUGCCCCUCUGCUCCACUCUGGUGAGAGCUCCACCUGGAGUCCUGUGUCCAAUUCUGGAGUCCUCAGCAUAAGAAGGACAUGGUUCUGUUGGAACAGAUCCAGAGGAGGACACAGAGAUGAUGGAAGGGCUGGAGCACCUUAGUUAUGCGGUCAGGCUAAGAGGGUUGGGGUUGUUCAGCCUAGAGAAGAGAAGGCUGCAGGGAGAUUUUAGAGCAGCUUCCAGUGCUGAAGGGGGUCCAGGAAAGCUGGGGAGGGACCCUUUACAAGGGUGUGGAGUGACAGGAUGAGGGGGAAUGGCUUUAAAUUGGAAGAGGGAAGAUUUAGACAUUAGGAAGAAAUUCUUCAUGAUGAGAGUGGGAAGGCCCUGGCCCAGGUUGCCCAGAGCUGUGGUGGCUGUCCCAUCCCUGGAGGUGUUCAACACCAGGUUGGAUGGAGCUUGGAGCCCCUGAUCCAGUGGGAGGUGUCCCUGCUUAUGGCAGGGGGUUGGGACCGGAUGAGCUUUGAAGUCCCUUCCAACCCAAACCUUUCCAUGAUUCUAUGAUCUUCCAAAGCGCUGACUGCAGGAGCGUGUGCAGUUUGUGCCAGUGCUGAUCUGGCCAAAUUCACCCCGUGCCCUCUUCCACCAAGUGCCCCAGUGCCCGUCAGCGCUCGGCGGGUGCUCUAAUUUGGGGCUGCCUGUGGCGUCAUGAGCUGGAUGAGCUCAGCCCUUAAGCUGUAAAGGCUUCUUAAGGACAGGCACUCUCUUAGCAUUGUUAUGGGGAUGCUAGCACUUGACUGCAUCUGGAAUGCUGGGCUUAUACAGGUGAGGGCAAAACACAGAGCAUGGGGUGAUCCAGGGGCUGUAAUCCUCUGCUGGCGCAAUCCCAUGAGAGCCUUGUGGGCAGCAUCAUGGAAUGGUUUAGGUUAGAAGGGGCUUUAAAGCCCACCGAGUUCCACCCCCUGUCAUGGGCAGGGACACCUCCCACUGGAUCAGGGUCCUCAAAGCCCCAUCCAACCUGGCCUUGAAUGUUUCUGGGGAUGGGGCAUUACCACCUAUCUGUGCAGAGAGUUGUACAACACUGCUGUCUUCUCCCAUGGGGUGCACAACUGCCUCUAGAGGAUUUUGUGUCCUGAGACGUGGAGUCCGUUUGGGUCAUGAUGCUGCCCACCACGGAGCUACACCUGCUCUCGGGUAUUGAGCUGAAGACAGGCAUAGAAUCAUAGAAUCAUUAAGGUUGGAAAAAGACCUCUUAACUCAUCCAGUCCAACUGUCAGUUCAGCCCCAUCGUGCCUACUAAACCAUAUCCCAAAUGCCACAUCUACACGUUUUUGGAACCCCUUCAGGGAUGGAGACUCCCCCACUGCCCUGGGCAGCCUCUGCCAGUGCUUCACCACUCUGUCAGUAAAGAAAUUUUCCCUAAUAUCCAACCUAAACCUUCCCUGGUGCAACUUGAGGCCAUUUCCUCUUAUCUUAUCACUUCUUCCAGGGGAGAAGAAUGAGCAAAGCCAGCAAGAUGACAAGAGGUGGAUGCAUCCUUGAGGAGACCACGGAGCUCAUCGGGUAUUCAAGCUAGACGUCACCUCUGGACAAAGCCAGAAAGCUACUGGACCUGCAAGAGCUUUCAGUGCUUGGCUCUGGCGUACAAACCCAGUGGUGCAUGAACUGGAGAGAACAAGAGCGAGCAAGCGGCUGCGGAUGGGCCCUUGGGAUGAGGUAGGUGCGUGCCUGAGCACAAGAGGUUUGUGCUUGAGAGAGAAAAUGCUGAUUGUAGAGAACCAUAGAAUCACUUGAUUGGAAAAAAACUCCGAGAUCAUCAAGUCCAACCGUCCCUGUCCACUACUAAACCAGAUCUCUGCGGACGUCAUCUGCCCAUCUUUUAAACCCCUCCAGGGAUGGAGACUCCACCACUGCCCUUGGCAGCCAUUCCAGGGCUUAACCACUCUUUCAGUAAAGGCAUUUUUCCCUACUAUCCAACCUAAACCUCCUCUGGAACAACUUGAGGCCAUUUCCUCUUGUCCUAUCACUUGUUACUUGGAUCAGCACUCACCUCACCACAACCUCCUUUCUGGGAGCUGCAGAGAGCAAUGAGGUCUCCCCUCAGCCUCCUCUCCUCCAGGAUAAACAGCCUCAGGUUCCUCAGCCACUGCCAGAAACCCUGGGGUCCAGCCCCUUCCCAGCUCCAUUCUUCUUCUCUGGACUCCCCACACUCAAACUGGGGUGAGCAGGGAACCCACUAGAAGCAAGGCUUGACCCCUUCUGCUGGCAUCCACCAGUCCCUGGGAAGGAUGAGGGAGCUGAAAAGGGCAGGUGGGACAAUUUGGGCAUCGGUCCCUCUGCCCUCUCCAUGCCUGGGGCACCAGAGGGCUCCAUGAAGGGCCAAAGCUGUGUCACCCUCGCGUCAGGGUGGUGGUCAGCUCUGCUAGGCUGAUGGCUGCAGGCUCAGGCAGGAGGAGUUGCCUUCAUGCAGCCAAAUGUCCAUGGCUGUCCUUAGGAGCCCUGGAAAGCUGCAAAAUGAAGGAGAAACUGGGAUAUGUGAGCUGCACCUGGGCUGGCCUGGAGCUUUGCCCAAGAACUUUUGUUUUCCUGUAAUGGUUCCUUGAAUAUAACACUGAUUUUCAUGGCUUUGCAGCUGCAGGCAAGUGAUGCUCUGGUUGCUCUGUGUUAUCCUGACAGUUUGUAUAUAGAAAAGGUGGAGAA